AAGGCAGUUAGAUUAAUUUAUUAAAUUAGUUUAUUUAUAGCUGAAUAAUAGAUAGGUAAAAUUAAACUAUCAGCUUAAAAAAUUUAUAUUAACUAAAUUAUUGAAUCUGCGAAAUCCUUGAGGGAAACUGGGAUUAGAUACCCCAUUAUUCUUGGAAGUAAAAAGAAAAUCUACCAGAGUACUAUGAAUAAAAAUUUAAAACUCAAAGAGCUUGGCGGUGCUUUAGACUUUUCAGGGGAACCUGUCUUAUAAUCGACAAUCCACGCUACACCUAACCUUUUCUUGCAUACAGUUUGUAUACCGUCGUCGUCAGGUAACUUCUAAAAAUUUCAACAGUUAGCAAAAAAGUUUACAUUAAUAAGCUUAAACGUCAGAUCAAGGUGCAAUUAAUGAAAGGGACAAGAUGGGUUACAAUUAUAAAAUAAUAAUACGAAAAAUUAGUUGAAAUACUAUUUUAAAGGAGGACUUGAAAGUAAGCUAUUGUCUUUAUAUAUACUAAUUGAAUAAAGCUCUGAAGCGUGUACUAACCGCCCGUCGCUCUCGUUGAAAAAUGAGAUAAGUCGUAACAUAGCAGGGGUAAUGGAAAUUGCCCCUAGAUU
RNAcentral lists this ribosomal RNA (599 nucleotides) under Vexillum plicarium. Its description in RNAcentral is "partial 12S ribosomal RNA". It matches the Rfam family "Eukaryotic small subunit ribosomal RNA". Lineage: Eukaryota; Metazoa; Mollusca; Gastropoda; Neogastropoda; Costellariidae. The record is from RNAcentral.